GCGCACCAGUCGCGAAACCUUCGCAAUGCAGGAAACUGCGACGAGGGAACUCCAAGUGCCUACGCUCAGCGUAGGCUGUUCUCAAGCCUAGAAAGCUUGAGGAGUAAGGGCUGGGUAAGACGGGUGCCACCUGUGGUAGGCAGUCAAUAGAUUCGAUUUGUUACUGCAAGGCAUAAAGGCCGCCGUCGGUAAUACCCGCAG
This 201-nucleotide ribosomal RNA is filed under the name uncultured microorganism. RNAcentral's name for it is "partial 16S ribosomal RNA". It matches the Rfam family "Archaeal small subunit ribosomal RNA", at positions 330 to 482 of the family's 1478-position model. The record is from RNAcentral.